RNAcentral lists this ribosomal RNA (447 nucleotides) under uncultured bacterium. Its description in RNAcentral is "partial 16S ribosomal RNA". It matches the Rfam family "Bacterial small subunit ribosomal RNA", at positions 29 to 523 of the family's 1533-position model. The record is from RNAcentral.
AACGAACGCUGGCGGCAGGCCUAAAACAUGCAAGUCGAACGCCCCGCAAGGGGAGUGGCGCACGGGUGAGUAACGCGUGGGAACGUGCCCUUCACUACGGGACAACGUCGGGAAACUGACGCUAAUACCGUAUAAUGACUCCGGUCCAAAGAUUUAUCGGUGAAGGAGCGGCCCGCGUCUGAUUAGCUAGUUGGUGAGGUAAAGGCUUACCAAGGCUACGAUCAGUAGCAGGUCUGAGAGGAUGAUCUGCCACACUGGGACUGAGACACGGCCCAGACUCCUACGGGAGGCAGCAGUUAGGAAUAUUGGACAAUGGGCGAAAGCCUGAUCCAGCCAUGCCGCGUGUGUGAUGAAGGCCCUAGGGUUGUAAAGCACUUUCGUUGGGGAUGAUAAUGACCGUACCCAAAGAAGAAGCACCGGCUAACUUCGUGCCAGCCGCCGCAGUAA